RNAcentral lists this long non-coding RNA (10252 nucleotides) under Capsicum annuum. RNAcentral describes it as "long non-coding RNA (CANN_LNC001457)". Lineage: Eukaryota; Viridiplantae; Streptophyta; Magnoliopsida; Solanales; Solanaceae. The record is from RNAcentral.
UUGCAUAAUCUGCUGCUCAUUCGAUUGAGUGGUGUCCAUCAUCUCCUCAUCAGCUGCUAGUGGUAUUUUAAUGGUCUUGCUGAGCAGUGUAAGUACGACAUGGUUUCUCUCAACUUUGUUUUUGGGGACAUAGUUAGGUGCGAGAUAAUAUUCUCUCAUGUGCCAGUCACCCGCCUCCUCUUUACCCUUGUAGUACCACCAAAAAAUCUUGAUUUUUCCCAUGUGUCUCUUGUUGGCAUCAAAAAUUGAUUUUCCUCUGAAACACUUUCAUGUUCCAACUUGACUAGAAAAGCGUUUAGCCUGUUUCAAAUCCUGAGAAGUGAUAAAAUACCGUUGUCUCGUCACGCCCAUUACGUACUACACCAAAUUAUUCAUCAUCUUCUGGUCCUUUUCUAUUGGGAAUCUACAACUAUUUUUCAGGCAUUCCAAACAAAACACACAAACAAAAUUUUCUCACAAGAAAAAAAAUCUGUUGAAUUACAACAACAAACAAGAAAGAAGAGGAUCCGUAUUUAUAUUCUUCACUUCCUUUUACUUUCCUACGCGUCAAACCCGAACAAGGAAAUGUUUAGGCCCAAUAGUGGCCCAAACCCGCAAAACAAAUCAUAAAUAUUAAUGUAGGUCAGUAUAAAAGGAAAAAAAUUGCAUGUGCUAAUAUAAUUAAUAGAGACAAACUAAGGUUUCUUUAUAAUUUUACUAUUAUAAUAUUAUUACUAUUAACGUAGGUAAGAAAAAAAAAAAGCAAAAAUUUAAUAGGAGAACAAGUAUGAAACUUAUUAGUACUAUUUUAAUUAUUUUUAUAAUAUUUAAAAUUAAGAAGUCCUAAAAUAUAUGAUAAGAGAAAAAUAUUUUUUAAAAAUAAAGAGUUCUAAAAAAUAUAUAUAUAUAUGGUAAAAUAAAUAUAUAUUGUAUUAAGUAUUAAGACAAUUAAUAAUAAAGUGUUCUACAAUAUAUGAUAAGACGAAAAAAAUAUGGUAAGAGGUACUAAAAAAUUAUUUUUUCUUAUUUGAGUUAUGAAAUAGGAUAUAUCAAACAAUAAUAAUAAUUAAUCAAUUUAUUCUUUCUAAAUAUUUUAGGUAAAAACUUUAAUCAUUUUAGCUCUUUUAAGUUAAUCUUUAAUUUAUAUCUAUUUAUAAUCUAUUUGAGAGAGAAAUUGAGUUUUUUUUUUUAAAUUUUUAUUAUAUAAUAUUAGGCAUUAUUUUUUAAAAUAUUUUUUAUGUAACAGUGACGUGGCAGUGAUGUGGCAAUGAUGCAGCAUGUGAUGUAGCGCGCGUGUAAUGCACCUCCCUCAGUGAGAGUGGUAGUGCAUUUUUAGGAUGGUAUAUAAUUCACUAUAAAGUUGUUAAGGGGGGUAAAUAAUUAUCCGUAAAGUUAAGGGUCUAAAGUAAGUUAUGCGGACAAGUUCAGGGGUGAUUUGAUGUAUUUUCUCAAAGAAAUAACCAGUAGGAUAUAUAUGGAAUCCUAAUAAAAUAAAUAUAUUAAAUUUUGAUUAUUAAUUUUUUUAAAAGUCAGGUGAUCCAAAAUAGAGAUUCGGAUUCUCUUUUUAUUAUUAGUAAAAACUCUUAUAAUCACAUAAAUACUAUAAUAUAUUUUAAGAGCAUAAGUUCCAAAAUUAUUAUUUAUUCUUAAAUUACCGUAUUUAUCCAAAACACGUUACAAUGUUAAAAUGCUCUCUAACUCUACUCUACAAAAUUUUAUAUUUUUGAUUUACAUAAUAUUUUUUUAAGUAGGAGUCUAUUUGUCUUUUUCUUAAAAAAUUUUCAGGUUUUAGCUUUUUUCUUAGGUGUUGGAAUCUAUAAUAUUUGUUUUUUUUAAUUCCUUUUUGGUUUAGACAAUGUUUACUUUUUUAAUUCCUUUUUGAUUUAGGGUCUCCUAUAUAUAUAAAAAAUAUUAUUGCACAAUUUCAUUCAUGAAUUUUAUCAUUUUUGUAUUUUUAAGUUUUCUUUCUUUACGAAUUUUUCUUUUAUAGUAGAUCUUAAUGUUUGUCUUAUUACUUUCUCUUAUGUUUUCCAUUAUAAAUAUAUCAUUCAUAUUCUUUAUCAAAAUUUCAGGUUCAUGAAAUGAAUUUGUCUAGAGGUAUGUUUUCUAAAAUUUUAGAUUGAUUUUGAAGUUUACAGUAAUAAAUGAUGUAUUUUUUUAUAAACAAUUAUAAAUUAGGAAAUUUCUUUGUGAGUUUUGUUUAUAGUAUUUCAUAUACAAUUAGUGAUUUGAAAUUGAAUUAUUUACAAUUUUGGACAGAUUAUUUAGACUAUCGCAUUUUAUCAUGAGAAAUUGAUUGGUCAUUCGAAAUUUAUGAUAAUUAGUAAUGAAAUUGAUUUGUUUAUAAUUUUGAAUAAAUUAUUUGGAUCAUCGCAUUUCGUUAUGAAAAAUUGAUAGGUCAUUCUGAAUGCAUAAUAAUAAGUUAUCUUAUUAAUUAAAAAAAAAAAUUUAUCUAUGCUUUAUGGUUAAAAACCUAUGUAUAUUAAGUUCUGAGGAUUAUUCCUCGGAUUAGGUUUUUAGGAGAUUUUAUUUUUAUUUGUUAGUUGUUUGGCUUAUCAUUAAAUUUUUUUAAUCACUGGUUGUAGGUAUAAAGAGGCCAUCAACAAUUUUGAGAAUUGCUUCUUUUUAUUUGAGGUAACGAAUUUUUUCUUAUUUUGAUGUAAAUUAGUAUAUAUAUCUCCUCUUUUUUUUUUUUAAUUUUGGGUUUGAUUUAAUUUUCUUGCAUUUAUUAUGUAUCAUCAUUCUUUCUACGAGAAAAUAGCCAAAAAAUCCCCCAACCUUUACCCCAAAUCCCAACUACACACUUAUACUUUGCGGGGGUCUUAUGACCCCCCUGAACUAUUUAAAAAUGAUAUUAUUACCUCUCUAAAUGCUUACGUGGCAUAGCGAGUAUAUCUCACUCUCCUUGAGAGAGUGAGCACCGAAAAUAAAAAUAAAAAUUUUAUUUUCACAUUUCUUUAUAUAUAUAUAUAUACAUUUUUUAUUUUUUCUUUAUUUGCUUUAUUCUUUAUCCUCUCCUUCUCUCCAUUUUCAUAUUCUUCACCAUCUUCAUCUUCCUCUUCCUCUUUCACAUCUCCAUCUUCAUUUUUUUAUCUCCAUUUUCAUUUAUACCGCAAAUUCAAUACUUUUCUCAUCAUUAGUUUUUUAACUAUCAUUUUUAGACCCACUAAUUUUUUCUUUUUGUGAAGAAGGAUAAAUAAUCCAAAGUGUUUCCGUCAGAAUGGCUUCACAGCCGCAGGUGAAGCUUUUUCGGCCACCGAAUCAGUUCCAAAAUGAACAUAUCAGUGAUAUUCACCAACCCCAUAAACAAUUACACACAUAUUCAUCUCAUAAUUCUCUGAAAUUUGAAAAGAUUAAAGUGGUCCUUGAAGUAAUUUCCGAUGAAAAGUGAAAAUUAGUUCAAAAAUUUAUGUCUCAUGAGGAUUUCAGAUCGAGUGAAACGAUUCCAAACCAUGAAAUCAAUAUUAUAUCUCAAAAUCAAUAUUCAUAUUUAAGCUUUUUUUGCACUGUUUCAACAUUAAGAUUGAUUUUUAAGUUGUGGGUUUCUUGAUUUUGUCUGUUUUAGCAUCAAGAUUGAAUUUUGAGUUGUGUGGUUUGUUGAAAUUGUUUGUUUUAGCAUCAAGAAUAAAUUUUGAGUUGUGACAUCUUUUGGAUUUAUCAACAAUGAUGAGACAAAUGAUGGAGAAUUAUCGAAGGAAAUGGGAGAGGGUGAUUUUGUGAGGGAUAGUGAGUUGUUUGGGUGAAAUUUUAUUGAGGGUUAAUUGAAGGUAGAUGAAGUCAUCAUCUUCUUCUGAAUCUUCAUGUAAGAGUGAAUUGAAGUACAUGCUACAAAUGCCCUUUUGGAUUUUUAUGUUAAAUGUGAGAAUGUGAUAGAGGCAAGUAAUUUUUUGAUAAGUUGGAUGAUGAUAGUGUAGUGUCUUGGACAUCUUUCAUUGUAGGUUUGGCUGGCAAUGGUUUUGAUUCCAUGGAUUGAAGUAGGAUAAAAAUUAAAAAUGAUUUUGAUUCCAUGGAUCGAAGUAGGAUAAAAAUUAAAAAAAUGAUAAAAAUGAUUAAACAAUAAGAAAAAAGAAGAAUAAAAUUAAUUUUUUAUAUAAAAAAAUCACAAUAUUACAUGGCAUAAGCUGAUAGGCGCGUGCAGCUCACUCACUUGUACAGAUCUGGGCAUGAGUUUUUAGACGGGCAUAUAUUCUAUUUUUAAAUAGUUCAAGGGGGUCAUAGGACUCUCGCAAAGUAUAAGUGUGUAGUUGGGAUUUGGGAUAAAGGUUGGAGGGACUUUUGGCCAUUUUCUCUUCUUUCUACCUUGAAUUCUGCCUUUAAUCUCCUAAGUGAAAAUUCAAACAAUGAAUUUUCUUCUUCUGAUAAUAUCUGUGUUUCUUUUUCAGGUGAAUGUUUUUUAACAGAAAAUUGAACGAAACAAGCAUGUUGCCGCCGAAAGAAGUAGUCGAUAAAGAUCAAAGUUGGUAACUUGACUUUUUAUAGUGUUUUUUCUUAAUUAAUUUCUUCUCCUAAAUAGCGAAUUUCAUCCAACAAUACAAAUACAGUAUAAUAAUUGAUUCGAACCUUCAUAGAGGGUUCUGACAAUUUAAAUAUAGAUCAUUAGGAUGCUAAUUGUUAUUUUUCUAAUAGAUAUUAUUUUCCUUUUUAUAGUUUUUUGUAGUUAGAUACUUCAAGUUAAUUGAGCACUGAAAUGAGGCAUGAUAAUGGUUAUUUAGUUUGUUCCAUAUUGUUCCUUAAUUUUAAAUAUCGUGAUUUUUUUUCAUGUACUUUCAUCUAAACUUUUUUGAAAAUUUUGUACUAAUUGUGAUUUAAUCUUAUUUUUUUAAUUGGAUUUUAAAAAAAAUAUUUAAAAUUUUGAAAGCAACUAAAAAAAGGUUAUUAAAUCUUAAUUAGCUAGAAAGCACGACAAAUGUGUACCUAAAGGAGUAGUACUAUUUAAAACUCUAUAAGGCAUGAAACCUAAAAAACUCUUAAAAGAAAGAGUAUUUGUUGGCUCAAUCAAUGAUUGGUGUAAAAGAAAUUACACGAAAAAAUGUCUUCCCGUAUACAUAUAUACUUUCGCACACAAAAAUAUCUUAUUUUUUUAGCAUACGAAAUAGAUACACGAAUUCAAUUGUUUAUUUUACCUUUUUUCUUAGUUCAUUUCAAUAUCUUUUUUAAAAUACUCUAUUUCUAAAUUUUCAUACAGUAUACUUAAAACUACAAGAUUAAAGUAUAUUUUAGUAUAUUUCACAUAUCUAUAAUAAUUAUAAAAGAGACAUUAGAAAAUGUAUGGUGAAUUAUCAUGUUCUUCACAUUUUUUGUCCUAAAAUUAAUGUUGAUUUUUAAAAUUUUCAACUUAAUAAUAUAACGUACACACAAUAAUUUGUUCUUUUAAUAUUCAUUUAUUGUUAAUUAACUAUACACACAUGCAAACCACGUACACCUAAACUAGUAAAUCUUUAUAGAGAGAAAAAAAAUUAAAACCUUUCAACGUUUUGGUCGACUUCAAAGUAAAAAGUAAAUAAGGUCCUCUUCAUCAGCAAAAGUUUCAUAGAAUCAUUCACUGAUUUGAUAAUUUGUUAUGAUUGUUUCAAAUUCUUUCUAUCUUCUGUUUUUGUAAGACGAAGCAAUUAGUGGAAACACUGAUGAAAUUUCAAAUUCAAAUUCUAGGACUGAGAGAGGAAGCAAUUAGUGGAAGCACUGUUGAAAAGGCUUACAGCCUGACACUUAUUAGUUAAAUAUUUUGCAUUUAUUUUAGCCUGUGUGAUUUGCAGAUUAUUACACAGUAGGGAAUGAAGGGCAGAGAUUGUGACAGAGAUAGCGGGGAAUGAAGGGCAGAGACUGUGGCAAAAAUUGUAGCGGCUGCGGGUUAUCCUGAGGUUCCAAAAAAAAAAUAUUGUUUGGACCAUUGCUAUAUAUUGUUCUACUUAGCUAUUAAAACUCAGGAUUCUCAUAUCAAAUAUUGAUAUUUAUAUUAUCUUUUUUCUUUGUUUUAGUUUAAAAUUAGCUUUAGGUUCGUAGAAUUUAGAACCAAGAAUCUAUUAAGUUUUGAUGCAGUCGGGCUUUGAAAAUCUUUUGUAUAUAGAUUAGUGGCAUCAAUUUCGUACCAGAAACCGCUUUAAUAGCUCGAAUAGAACAAUGUUUUCCAACUUUUGUGUCCAAGAGCCUCUUAAGUACAAGCAGAAAGCUUCAGUUCCAAGAAGAAGUUUAGCAAAUCUGAGAUGACAGGCAACGUUAACUCUAUGUUUCAGCACAUUCUUAGUGAAUCAUGUGUGUCUUGAUUUUUUGAGGGGAAACUGUUCACAAUCACAAAGAUGGUAAAGAAGCAGAGAAUCAAUCCAUGAGCCCUACUGAGAUAGAGAAAAUCAUCGGACUCGAAGAGGUACUAGAAAUAAUGGCCAUGUAAGUGAUGAUAGUGAACAGAAACCAGUGGAAUGCUCCAGAGAGACAUAUUAAGGAAAAGUGAUGAAGAGAUGGAGAUUUUUGAGCUAACAGUAUGUACAAGAAAUAAAGGAUAGCUCCUAAGAGAGCGAAUAUGAAUCCGACAAUGUAGAUUCCCAUCAAAUGAUACAUAGCUUUACUAAGACCACCUUCUGUUUCACUUGGCUGUUCAAUGAACUAAAAUCACAUCAGAAAGGAAUUUCACUCUAUUCAAAUUAAGUUCACAGGAUAUUGCUAUAAACCACUAAAACAAUUGAAUAAUGAACUCUUAUUGUAGGUAAAGAGAGGAAUACAGUGAUAUUAUUUAGAGAAGUUUUCACCAGCUGUACCUCUUUGCAGCAACUUUUUAGUAAAUGACCCUCUUUUUAUUUCUCUGGCAACUUAUGGACCUUUUUGACCACGAUCUAAAGAUGACUUUUGGAGCUAAACUGGAAGACUUCAGAGAAAAAGUUGAAACCAGAGUCUAAAAUUUUAUGAGUCAUUGCAAACAUCAGAUGAUAGUCUAAUAUUUUUGUAAGGUUGAGAAAUAUGUAAGAAAAUAUUAGUUUCAGUCUAACGCUGUCCCGGAUGGUAAUCUUCUUAGAGCUAUAUUAUCACCAACUGACCCCUUGUAGGAUUCUCAUAGCUAUACAGAUCUAUCCACAGAAACAUUAUUGAGAGAGUUAAGAACGAUAAACAAAUAUAAGGUCCCAUAUAGAGGUAAGUGAAAUGACGUACACAAAAAUACAGUAAUUCACCUUUCCAGAUAUUACAGAGACAACAUGCAACCAGCAAACACCUUGGAAAGUUGUUUAGACUUCAAAUUCACCCAUAACUCCUCGAACUUACUGAAGAAACUAAGGCCUUUACUUUAUCCUCAUUUACAGGAUUGUAACAUCUUUAUAGCUACUUCAUGAUUCGCAUCGUAAUCAGUGGCUGAUUGAUGAUGUUUGGCUGACCAAACAUCACCAAAGCAUCCACGUCCGAUCCUAUGUUUAAGUUGAUCGACGCAGGAUCAAUGUACGGACCCGGCUGGGGCAGUUGCAGCAACAACAGUUUUGAGAUGAUCAGGAUCUCCUUAAUAAAGCUCGUAAUCGAAGGAGGUUGCCAAAGGACAUACUUUGAAAUCUUUAGACAUUUUCCCAGCUAAAAGGGCAAAAAGCAAUUUUUAUAAAAAAACAUGAGAUCAACAAUCACAAUUUGCACGGCAUGUAAUAGGAACUUCCGCCAGUACAUAAAAUCAGACAAGUCAUAGCUAGUUAAAUUUGGGUUUUGUUAAACUCCGUUACACAAAUGGCUCAUAUGUGAAGAGCGAAAUGUUGAGGACUCAUAUGUGAAGAGUGAACAUAUAAAAGGGAAAUUUUGUCAAAAGCAAACAGCCAAAACAUCGCUACUCCUACUCCUGUUUCAAUUAGUUCCAAUGGCAAGACAAUGUCCACACUGUGUGACCAAGAAAGUAGUAUUCCUUGAAAACUAGCUAAAACAUGCAAGAAUCUCACAAAUCAGAAUAAAACUCUUUUUUUAUGAAGUAAGAUGUUUCAUGAGAAGGCAUCAAGCAGAUGCAAAGCUUAAAAAAGAGAGAUUAGAUCAGCCCAGAUACACACAUGACUAAGAAACCUUACUUUCACACACAUGAUCUUCUUACUUUCAGAUGCACACAUGUUGUAAGCAGAAUAAAACUUAUAUCGUGAAGCCCGACUAUGAAGAAAUCUAAAUUCGGACGACAAAUACAAAGGAAAUCUAGAUAGCAAACCUAAAUUCUGACCAUCAAAAUAAAGGAAAUUGAGAAAGACCUCUUAGUAUUUCUGAUUUAGAAUGACCACUUACUAUAUUUGGCUGACCAAACAUCACCAAAGCAUCCUAUGCUUAAGUUUGAUCGAAGCAGGAUCAAUGUACGGACCCGGCUGGGGCAGUUGCAGCAACUACAGUUCUGAGAUGAUCAGGAUUUCCUUCAUAAAGCUCGUAAUCGAAGGAGGUUGCCAAAAGACAUACUUUGAAAUAUUUAGAAAUUUUCCCAGCUAACAGAGCAAAAGGCAAUUUUUAUUUAAAAAACAUGAGAUCAACAAUCACAAUUUGCACAGCAUGUAAUAGGAACUUCCGCCGGUACAUAAAAUCAGACAAGUCACAGCUGAAUUAUUGAAUUCCUCAAGCAACAUUUCUAACAACAACAACAUACACAGUGAAAGUGAAAUCUGACAAAUGGAGUUUUGGGGAGGGUAAAGUGUAUGCAGACCUUACCCCCUGCCUCGUGGAGGUAGAGAGGUUGUUUCAGAAGGAAACUCAACUGGAGUGCAAAGAAUCAAAAUAGAAAUGGAACAGGAAAAAAGGCAACGAAGAAAACAUGAUCACUAAUAAGGAAAGCAAGUAGAGAGAAAUCAGAAAAGGAUCAGUGACAGCAGUAAAAUAGUGGAAUAAGUGAAACACAAUAAACAAAGAUACAUCAAAAGCAAGAAACUAGCUACAUCAAGGACACAAUGCCGUGACCUCCAUGGUCUCUUAUCUAAGAUAAUGGAAAUUUGAUAUAAAAUAGUCAACAACAUACAAUAUAUGUUCAUCACAAGUAAAAUAAGCAACAUACAUAUUAGUUCAUCACAAGUAAAAUAAGCAGCAUACAAUAUAAGUGCAUCACAAGUAAAAUAGUCAGCAACAUACAAUAUAAGUUCGUCACAAGUAAAAUAGUCAGCAACAUACAAUAUAAGUGCAUCACAGGUAAAUAGUCAGCAACAUACCAUAUAAGUGAAUCACAAGUAACAGUCAGCAACAUACAAUAUAAGUGCAUCACAAGUAAAAUAGUCAGCAACAUACAAUAUAAGUUCAUCACAGGUAAAUAGUCAGCAACAUACCAUAUAAGUGAAUCACAAGUAACAGUCAGCAACAUACAAUAUAAGUGCAUCACAGGUAAAUAGUCAGCAACAUACCAUAUAAGUGAAUCACAAGUAACAGUCAGCAACAUACAAUAUAAGUGCAUCACAAGUAAAAUAGUCAGCAACAUACAAUAUAAGUUCAUCACAGGUAAAUAGUCAGCAACAUACCAUAUAAGUGAAUCACAAGUAACAGUCAGCAACAUACAAUAUAAGUGCAUCACAGGUAAUUUCCCCCCUUGGUUGUCGGCUAGUGGUACCCUAAUGGUCUUGCUGAGCAGUGUAAUUACGACAUGGUUUCUCUCAACUUUGUUUUGGGGGACAUAGCUAGGUGCGAGAUAAUAUUCUCUCAUAUGCCACUCACUGGGCUCGUCUUUAGCCUUGUAGUAGUACCACGAAAUCGUGAUGUUUCCCAUGUGUGUUUUGAUGGCAUCAAAAACUGAUCUUUCUUUUGGGUUCAGGCUUCCAUCUUCCAGCUUGACUAGAAAAGCGUUUGGCCUUUUUCAAAUCCUGAAAAGUGAUAAAAUACCGUAGUCUCUACAACCUCCGUGGCCCCUUGGUAGACUCAAAAAUGUCCAUCCACAUCAUUCAUAACAGUGUGCUUAACAGAAAAAGGCUUACCCAUUACGUACUUCACCAAAUUGCUCAUCGUCACCUUUUCCUUUUCUAUUGGGAAUCCACCAUUACUUUUCGACAUUCCCAAUAAAACACAAACAAAACUGAAUAAUUCAACAACAAACAAGAAAGAAAAGGAUCCCCAUUUAUUAGGGUUCUCUUCACUUCCUUUACUUCCCUACCCGUUAAACCCGAAAAAGACAAAGGGAAUGUUUAGGCCCAACAAUGGCCCAAACACGCAAAACAAAUAAUAUCUAUAAUCGAAUCUAUAAUCUAUAAUUUAUAAUUUAUAUAUAUACUAAUCUUAGGACACGCGCACCAUUUUAUGAAUUCAAUUUGAUAAAAUUAUUUUAAUAUUAUAAAAAAAAAAUAUGUUUGGAUUACUAAGCAAAUUGAUG